This 466-nucleotide ribosomal RNA is filed under the name uncultured bacterium. Its description in RNAcentral is "partial 16S ribosomal RNA". It matches the Rfam family "Bacterial small subunit ribosomal RNA", at positions 28 to 507 of the family's 1533-position model. The record is from RNAcentral.
GAUGAACGCUGGCGGCGUGCUUAACACAUGCAAGUCGAACGACGACGCCCAGCUUGCUGGGUGGUUUAGUGGCGAACGGGUGAGUAACACGUGAGUACCCUGCCCUUUACUCUGUCAUAAGCCUUGGAAACUGGGUCUAAUACCGGAUAGGACCGUCCACCGCAUGGUGGGUGUUGGAGAGCUUUAUCGGUUUUGGGUGGACUUGCGGCCUAUCCGCUUGUUGGUGGUGGAGUGGCUGACGAAGGCGACGACGGAUAGCCGGCCCGGGAAGGUGAACAGGCACCCGGGGACUGCGACACGGCGCAGACUCCUACGGGAGGCAGUAGGCGGGAAUAUUGCACAGUGAGCGCAAGCCGGAGGCGGAGGCGCCGGGUGAGGGAUGACGGCCUUCGGGUUGUGAACAGCAUUCGGUAAGGAAGAAGCGGAAGUGACGGUACCUAAAGAAGAAGCACCGGCUAACUACGUG